AUUGAACGCUGGCGGCAGGCCUAACACAUGCAAGUCGAACGAGUGGCGGACGGGUGAGUAAUGUCUGGGAAACUGCCUGAUGGAGGGGGAUAAAUACUGGAAACGGUAGCUAAUACCGCAUACCAUCGGAUGUGCCCAGAUGGGAUGAGCUGGUGGGGGGGGUAACGGCUAACCAAGGCGACGAUCCCUAGCUGGUCUGGGAGGAUGACCGGCCACACUGGACCUGAGACACGGCCCAGACUCCUACGGGAGGAAGCAUUGGGGAAUAUUGCACAAUGGGGGCAAGCCUGAUACAGCCAUGCCGCGUGUAUGAAGAGGGCCUUCGGGUUGUAAAGCACUUUCAGCGGGGAGGCGUUACCCGCAGAAGAAGCACCGGCUAACUCCGUGCCAGCAGCCGCGGUAAUUC
RNAcentral lists this ribosomal RNA (406 nucleotides) under uncultured bacterium. RNAcentral describes it as "partial 16S ribosomal RNA". It matches the Rfam family "Bacterial small subunit ribosomal RNA", at positions 29 to 526 of the family's 1533-position model. The record is from RNAcentral.